Myotis daubentonii (Daubenton's bat) is the source of this 1344-nucleotide long non-coding RNA. RefSeq lists it as uncharacterized. NCBI's taxonomy places the organism in Eukaryota, Metazoa, Chordata, Mammalia, Chiroptera, Vespertilionidae. The record is from RefSeq and is a predicted model, not a curated record.
UAAUUCAAAACUGAACCCCACCCAGACUUCUUUCCUCAAGAUGGCCGACUCCGGAGGUCAGCCCUAGCUGACUCAGGGGAGCAAGCUGACUGAGGCCUUCAAGUACUUCCUGCAAGGCAUGGGCUACAUGGCCUCAUCCUGCAUGACUUGCCUGUCCCGACCUCGCACAGCUUCCCGGACCAGUGCAGCAUCCAUUGAUGGCAGCCAGUCCCGCUUGAACCUUGUCCCAGAGCAGCGAGUCUGGGACUCUACCUUUAGAGCCCCCAGGGCACACCAUGGAGGUCUCCUGUUGAAUGGUCCUUAUUGCCCUGGUGUGGGACCCAACCCUCACCUCCCCCAGCACUAACCUGGGAGGUACAUACAACACUGGGCCAGAGUGAGCAAGGGAAGAUGGGCAGAUCAUGUGAGGAGAUGACCUUGAUCUUUGAUCACUACCCUAACCCUGCCCUCUAACCUGUGAAACCCCUCAACUCCUGGGAGAGCUGUCUCAAUAUCUGUUAGAGACCCAGACCCCUAAAUGAUCCUUCUCCCUCAUUCUGUUGUUAAGGUGGAGAGGGCAUGCGUCCUCUUUCCUUAAUCUAGGUGUUCAUGGAUGAAGGAUAAGUGGUCAUUGUAGAUGUCCAUGAUGCCUGCCCCAGAGUCUCCCUACUCAUCCCAUUGUAAGGGUAAGGGACUUGGUGCUGGGUCUCCAUUCACCAAAGCAGAUAUGGCUUCGCAUUAACCCUUUAGAUCUCUGAAGGCUAUGGGCCUAAAUAAAUGUGUCAGGGAGGCUUGUUGGUGGGUUAGUGGUCCUCAAGAUGUGAUGGAAAUAUCCGGUGUGUGAAUGGAAGUUGGACUGGGAGGUGGUAGUCAAUGAACAAGUUUGAGGGAAGGAUUGGAGCUGGGCAACAGGAAGGGGCCUGGGGCCAUUGGCUCCACUAACUUUGGUAGCUGUCUAGAUAGUGUUUCUAGAGGGUGGGAAGGGCUACCUUGGGGCUCUGACCACUGUGUUAUGUGUGGAGGGUGCUCUCCUGUCUCCCACAACUUCUGCUGUAACAAUAAACUAUAAAGGAAUCUGAGCACCAUUAUUAUUCUGUCUCGGUAUGCCUGCAUCACGCCCCUUUCCUACCCCAUCCCUGCCCAACUCUCACAUUCUCUUCUCCAAGUGACACAAACCAUGGGAGGGAGCUUGCAUAGCAUAGACACUUCACAAAAUGUGACUUCACAGUCACUGGCCCUUAUUCAAUGGAAUGGACAAUGGUAUUGUCCUCGAUAUUGAUAAUACCUUCACAUUUCGGGAGGGGCUACUUAGAUCUUAGAAGGCUUCCUUAUCAGUUAUUGAGAAAUGCCAUGGGAUUUCAGAGA